Molecule: non-coding RNA, 345 nt
Organism: Ictidomys tridecemlineatus (thirteen-lined ground squirrel)
Lineage: Eukaryota; Metazoa; Chordata; Mammalia; Rodentia; Sciuridae
Source: RefSeq, a predicted model, not a curated record
CCUUUAGGAGGUAGGGCCUAGUGUAAGGAGAUCAAUACAAAGUCACAUCCUUGAAGGCUAUAUUGGGACCCCAGGCCUCCUCUUCUCUCUUUGCUUCCUGACCAUCAUGAGUGGCAGUGUUCAUCUUGAGAUCACCAGUCAAAAUCAGAACAAGUAGCGAACACAGUUGAGGGAAUAGAAGAGAAAAGGAGGCAGAAGUCAUGUCCUUCAAUGGGUUUCCAGUUAUGUGGGCCCUUGGAAGACCCUACUGUUUACACUACUAGCGGCUGGUUUGUGUUCUGCCGUCAAAACAUCACACCUCCUAAAAUUCCUCCCAGAGAGUUGAAUAAAAAGUGUAUAUGGUCA